RNAcentral lists this ribosomal RNA (1365 nucleotides) under uncultured bacterium. Its description in RNAcentral is "bacterial SSU rRNA". It matches the Rfam family "Bacterial small subunit ribosomal RNA", at positions 28 to 1381 of the family's 1533-position model. The record is from RNAcentral.
GACGGACGCUGGCGGCGUGCUUAACACAUGCAAGUCGAACGGAAAGGCCCUCACCUUGGUGGGGGUGCUCGAGUGGCGAACGGGUGAGUAACACGUGGGUGAUCUGCCCUGUACUUCGGGAUAAGCUUGGGAAACUGGGUCUAAUACCGGAUAGGACCAUGGUUUAGUGUCUCAUGGUGGAAAAAUUAUUGUUUUGGUGCAGGAUGAGCUCGCGGCCUAUCAGCUUGUUGGUGGGGUAAUGGCCUACCAAGGCGUCGACGGGUAGCCGGCCUGAGAGGGUGGACGGCCACAUUGGGACUGAGAUACGGCCCAGACUCCUACGGGAGGCAGCAGUGGGGAAUAUUGCACAAUGGGCGCAAGCCUGAUGCAGCGACGCCGCGUGGGGGAUGACGGCCUUCGGGUUGUAAACUCCUUUCGUUAGGGACGAAGCCACACUUUUUUUGGGUGUGGUGACGGUACCUUUGUUAAGAAGCACCGGCUAACUACGUGCCAGCAGCCGCGGUAAUACGUAGGGUGCGAGCGUUGUCCGGAAUUACUGGGCGUAAAGAGCUCGUAGGUGGUUUGUUGCGUCGUCUGUGAAAUUCCGGGGCUUAACUUCGGGGUGGCAGGCGAUACGGGCAUAACUAGAGUGCUGUAGGGGAGACUGGAAUUCCUGGUGUAGCGGUGGAAUGCGCAGAUAUCAGGAGGAACACCGAUGGCGAAGGCAGGUCUCUGGGCAGUAACUGACGCUGAGGAGCGAAAGCAUGGGGAGCGAACAGGAUUAGAUACCCUGGUAGUCCAUGCUGUAAACGGUGGGCGUUAGGUGUGGGGACCGGUUUGGUUUCUGUGCCGUAGCUAACGCAUUAAGCGCCCCGCCUGGGGAGUACGGCCGCAAGGCUAAAACUCAAAGGAAUUGACGGGGGCCCGCACAAGCGGCGGAGCAUGUGGAUUAAUUCGAUGCAACGCGAAGAACCUUACCUGGGUUUGACAUGCACCAGACGGUUGUAGAGAUACGUACCUCCCUUUGUGGUUGGUGUGCAGGUGGUGCAUGGUUGUCGUCAGCUCGUGUCGUGAGAUGUUGGGUUAAGUCCAGCAACGAGCGCAACCCUUGUCUUAUGUUGCCAGCACGUUUGGGUGGGGACUCAUGAGAGACUGCCGGGGUUAACUCGGAGGAAGGUGGGGAUGACGUCAAAUCAUCAUGCCCUUUAUGCCCAGGGCUUCACACAUGCUACAAUGGUUAGUACAACGCGCGGCGAGCCUGUGAGGGUGAGCGAAUCACUGAAAGCUAAUCUCAGUUCGGAUUGGGGUCUGCAACUCGACCCCAUGAAGUCGGAGUCGCUAGUAAUCGCAGAUCAGCAAUGCUGCGGUGAAUACGUUCCCGGGCCU